UACAGAGACUGCAAGCGUUAUUCGGAUUCACUGGGCGUAAAGGGUGCGCAGGCGGUCGUGGGUGUCAGAUGUGAAAUCCCGGAGCUUAACUCCGGAACUGCGUCUGAAACUACAUGACUAGAGCAUUGGAGAGGGAAGUGGAAUUCAUGGUGUAGCAGUGAAAUGCGUAGAUAUCAUGAGGAACACCAGAGGCGAAGGCGACUUCCUGGACAAUUGCUGACGCUCAGGCACGAAAGCAUGGGGAGCAAAAGGG
RNAcentral lists this ribosomal RNA (253 nucleotides) under uncultured bacterium. RNAcentral describes it as "partial 16S ribosomal RNA". It matches the Rfam family "Bacterial small subunit ribosomal RNA", at positions 524 to 776 of the family's 1533-position model. The record is from RNAcentral.